Non-coding RNA from Caenorhabditis elegans, 105 nucleotides. The record is from Ensembl. Lineage: Eukaryota; Metazoa; Nematoda; Chromadorea; Rhabditida; Rhabditidae.
AAAAAUCAACGCACUGGUACCGGCAAUCGUCCCGGGGAACCAGUGACGCCUUCGAAAAGUGCGUUAGAGCGCACAUUCUACCCAACAAUUGUUGGGAGCGCGCCG